ACCUUCAUGCUUACCACUGUGAACGUGUCGAAUUUGUUGAAUAGGGCCCUUAACCUCAUUUCUUCCCUAAUUUACUUCCUGUGACAGGUAAAUAUAAGCAGGCCGCAGCGUCCAUCAAGUAAAAUGCAUAAACAAGCAAAUACAAGGGGAAAGUUUAAAAUGCCUGGAAAAAGACGACGAUACAAUGUUCGAUUUCCGCCUGGUCGUAUUAAGAAAAUCAUGCAGAAGGAUACAGAGGUGGGAAGAAUGGCCAUGGCGGUGCCAGUGCUUAUUUCUAAAGUUUUGGAGAUGUUUCUGAGAUCCCUUCUCACAAAGGCUAACCUAAUCACACAAUCAAGGCACAGCAGAACCUUAUCCGUUAACCACGUGAAGCAGUGCAUAGAUUCCGAGAGGACAUUUGAUUUCCUCAGGGCCAUUGCGGAGCAGGCUCAUGCCACCUCCGCAACCAAAGAGAGUCAAGAGAAAGGGAACUGGCCACAACACAGCAAAUUGGCUUUUUUUGCAGGAGAAGGUGGCAGGAUAUUCCUGUGAAAGCAAAGCCGUGUAAGAAGGAAGAGCCUCCUAAGAUAGCCAUCAGAGAAUCCCAGAGAGAACCUCUCUAUAAUGACAGCUCUUCCAGUGUACGUGCUCUCUUUUUCCUGCUCACCUUCUUAGCAACACACCGCUGCAAUGCAAAUGGUUUGUGAUCGCUACUCUUCGCCUUUUAGGAGUCAGAGCUGUACAUCUGUUUGGAUUGAUAGUUAUGAACAGUCUUGCUGUUGACAAACGGGUUUACUAUCCAUGGUGUUGCCUUCGCCACGAAUGUCAUUGGAAACAGAUGUUUGAACUGCUGUGAAGACCCAACAGUCAUUUUUGUUAUGAAUUUGUAUAUUGGUGAUUUAUUAUUUGUCGGGUGAGAAAGUAUUAGUGGUCAAAUUCAAUUGAUCUGCAGACAAAGUUUAAUAAUACAAUGAUGUGUGUAUGUUAAUAUGUAAGUGACAAGAAUAACUUUAUUUGAAUGUGUUUGUAUCCUGGAGGUUGGAUGGGGAAAAAAUACCAGAUCUGUAAUAUGUGUACACUUAAUCGACAUUUAUUUUCGGUUUUGUUGGUUUAAAUAACUAUUAUCAUCAAUACUAUUUUUAUGAAAAAGAAAUACUGUAUCGUUCUUCAUAUUACAACUUCCUGUGAACCUGCUUAAUUUCAUAAAGGUGAAAAUCAGAAAUCCAUUGGGAUAAUCAUGAACUA
Molecule: RNA transcript, 1224 nt
Organism: Clupea harengus (Atlantic herring)
Lineage: Eukaryota; Metazoa; Chordata; Actinopteri; Clupeiformes; Clupeidae
Gene name: dr1-associated corepressor
Exons: 6
Source: RefSeq, a predicted model, not a curated record